CCUACGGGGGGCAGCAGUAGGGAAUUUUCGUCAAUGGGCGCAAGCCUGAACGAGCAAUGCCGCGUGAACGAGGAAGGUCUUCGGAUCGUAAAGUUCUGUUGAAGGGGAAGAAGAACGGAGAGAGUAAAUGGUCUCCGAUUGAUAUUACCCUUCGAGGAAGUCACGGCUAACUACGUGCCAGCAGCCGCGGUAAUACGUAGGUGGCGAGCGUUAGCCGGAAUGAUUGGGCGUAAAGGGUGCGUAGGCGGCCUUCUAAGUCUGGAGUGAAAGGUACCGGCUCAACCGGGACAGGCUCUGGAAACUGGCGGGCUAGAGAGCAGAAGAGGGCGGUGGAACUCCAUGUGUAGCGGUAAAAUGCGUAGAUAUAUGGAAGAACACCAGUGGCGAAGGCGGCCGCCUGGCCUGUUACUGACGCUGAGGCACGAAAGCGUGGGGAGCAAAUAGGAUUAGAUACCCUUGUAGUC
Molecule: ribosomal RNA, 464 nt
Filed under: uncultured bacterium
Lineage: Bacteria
Description: partial 16S ribosomal RNA
Rfam family: Bacterial small subunit ribosomal RNA
Source: RNAcentral